Molecule: ribosomal RNA, 208 nt
Filed under: uncultured Smithella sp.
Lineage: Bacteria; Pseudomonadati; Thermodesulfobacteriota; Syntrophia; Syntrophales; Smithellaceae
Description: partial 16S ribosomal RNA
Rfam family: Bacterial small subunit ribosomal RNA
Source: RNAcentral
CGUGUAGGCGGCUGGAUAAGUCAGAUGUGAAAGCCCUGGGCUUAACCUAGGAAGUGCAUUUGAAACUGUUCAGCUUGAGUAGGGGAGAGGAAAGUGGAAUUCCUGGUGUAGAGGUGAAAUUCGUAGAUAUCAGGAGGAACACCGGUGGCGAAGGCGACUUUCUGGCCCUAUACUGACGCUGAGACGCGAGAGCGUGGGUAGCAAACAG